GACGAACGCUGGCGGCGUGCUUAACACAUGCAAGUCGAACGGAAAGGCCCUGCUUUUGUGGGGUGCUCGAGUGGCGAACGGGUGAGUAACACGUGAGUAACCUGCCCUUGACUUUGGGAUAACUUCAGGAAACUGGGGCUAAUACCGGAUAGGAGCUCCUGCUGCAUGGUGGGGGUUGGAAAGUUUCGGCGGUUGGGGAUGGACUCGCGGCUUAUCAGCUUGUUGGUGGGGUAGUGGCUUACCAAGGCUUUGACGGGUAGCCGGCCUGAGAGGGUGACCGGCCACAUUGGGACUGAGAUACGGCCCAGACUCCUACGGGAGGCAGCAGUGGGGAAUAUUGCACAAUGGGCGGAAGCCUGAUGCAGCAACGCCGCGUGCGGGAUGACGGCCUUCGGGUUGUAAACCGCUUUCGCCUGUGACGAAGCGUGAGUGACGGUAAUGGGUAAAGAAGCACCGGCUAACUACGUGCCAGCAGCCGCGGUGAUACGUAGGGUGCGAGCGUUGUCCGGAUUUAUUGGGCGUAAAGGGCUCGUAGGUGGUUGAUCGCGUCGGAAGUGUAAUCUUGGGGCUUAACCCUGAGCGUGCUUUCGAUACGGGUUGACUUGAGGAAGGUAGGGGAGAAUGGAAUUCCUGGUGGAGCGGUGGAAUGCGCAGAUAUCAGGAGGAACACCAGUGGCGAAGGCGGUUCUCUGGGCCUUUCCUGACGCUGAGGAGCGAAAGCGUGGGGAGCGAACAGGCUUAGAUACCCUGGUAGUCCACGCUGUAAACGGUGGGUACUAGGUGUGGGGUCCAUUCCACGGGUUCCGUGCCGUAGCUAACGCUUUAAGUACCCCGCCUGGGGAGUACGGCCGCAGGGCUAAAACUCAAAGGAAUUGACGGGGCCCCGCACAAGCGGCGGAGCAUGCGGAUUAAUUCGAUGCAACGCGUAGAACCUUACCUGGGUUUGACAUGGAUCGGGAGUGCUCAGAGAUGGGUGUGCCUCUUUUGGGGUCGGUUCACAGGUGGUGCAUGGCUGUCGUCAGCUCGUGUCGUGAGAUGUUGGGUUAAGUCCCGCAACGAGCGCAACCCUUGUUCACUGUUGCCAGCACGUUAUGGUGGGGACUCAGUGGAGACCGCCGGGGUCAACUCGGAGGAAGGUGGGGACGACGUCAAGUCAUCAUGCCCCUUAUGUCCAGGGCUUCACGCAUGCUACAAUGGCUGGUACAGAGAGUGGCGAGCCUGUGAGGGUGAGCGAAUCUCGGAAAGCCGGUCUCAGUUCGGAUUGGGGUCUGCAACUCGACCUCAUGAAGUCGGAGUCGCUAGUAAUCGCAGAUCAGCAACGCUGCGGUGAAUACGUUCCCGGGGCU
RNAcentral lists this ribosomal RNA (1346 nucleotides) under uncultured bacterium. Its description in RNAcentral is "partial 16S ribosomal RNA". It matches the Rfam family "Bacterial small subunit ribosomal RNA", at positions 28 to 1381 of the family's 1533-position model. The record is from RNAcentral.